GACUUUAAAGAUGGUGAACUAUGUCUGGGAAGGGCAAAGCCAGAGAAAAUUGGUGGGGUUCUCUAGUAGUCCUGGCAUGUAAAUCAGUUGUACCACUCAGGUUUAGGGGAGAAAGACAAACUGAACCACCUAGUAGCUGG
This 140-nucleotide non-coding RNA is filed under the name Calypte anna (Anna's hummingbird). RNAcentral describes it as "Eukaryotic large subunit ribosomal RNA". It matches the Rfam family "Eukaryotic large subunit ribosomal RNA", at positions 813 to 954 of the family's 3401-position model. The record is from Rfam by way of RNAcentral. Lineage: Eukaryota; Metazoa; Chordata; Aves; Apodiformes; Trochilidae.